RNAcentral lists this ribosomal RNA (525 nucleotides) under uncultured bacterium. RNAcentral's name for it is "bacterial SSU rRNA". It matches the Rfam family "Bacterial small subunit ribosomal RNA", at positions 355 to 896 of the family's 1533-position model. The record is from RNAcentral.
UGGGGAAUAUUGGACAAUGGGGGAAACCCUGAUCCAGCGACGCCGCGUGAGUGAAGAAGUAUUUCGGUAUGUAAAGCUCUAUCAGCAGGGAAGAAAAUGACGGUACCUGACUAAGAAGCCCCGGCUAACUACGUGCCAGCAGCCGCGGUAAUACGUAGGGGGCAAGCGUUAUCCGGAUUUACUGGGUGUAAAGGGAGCGCAAACGGCGAAGCAAGUCUGAAGUGAAAUGCAUGGGCUCAACCCAUGAAUUGCUUUGGAAACUGUUUGGCUUGAGUGUCGGAGGGGUAAGCGGAAUUCCUAGUGUAGCGGUGAAAUGCGUAGAUAUUAGGAGGAACACCGGAGGCGAAGGCGGCUUACUGGACGACAACUGACGUUGAGGCUCGAAGGCGUGGGGAGCAAACAGGAUUAGAUACCCUGGUAGUCCACGCAGUAAACGAUGAAUACUUGGUGUCGGGGAGGUAAACUCUUCGGUGCCGCAAGCAAACGCAUUAAGUAUUCCACCUGGGGAGUACGUUCGCAAGAAUG